This 355-nucleotide ribosomal RNA is filed under the name Salmonella enterica subsp. enterica serovar Newport. RNAcentral describes it as "partial 23S ribosomal RNA". It matches the Rfam family "Bacterial large subunit ribosomal RNA", at positions 1 to 383 of the family's 2925-position model. The record is from RNAcentral. Lineage: Bacteria; Pseudomonadati; Pseudomonadota; Gammaproteobacteria; Enterobacterales; Enterobacteriaceae. RNAcentral also lists the same sequence under 1 other name.
GGGUUGUGAGGUUAAGCGACUAAGCGUACACGGUGGAUGCCCUGGCAGUCAGAGGCGAUGAAGGGCGUGCUAAUCUGCGAUAAGCGCCGGUAAGGUGAUAUGAACCGUUAUAACCGGCGAUACCCGAAUGGGGAAACCCAGUGUGACUCGUCACACUAUCAUUAACUGAAUCCAUAGGUUAAUGAGGCGAACCGGGGGAACUGAAACAUCUAAGUACCCCGAGGAAAAGAAAUCAACCGAGAUUCCCCCAGUAGCGGCGAGCGAACGGGGAGGAGCCCAGAGCCUGAAUCAGCAUGUGUGUUAGUGGAAGCGUCUGGAAAGGCGCGCGAUACAGGGUGACAGCCCCGUACACAAA